Molecule: ribosomal RNA, 495 nt
Filed under: uncultured bacterium
Lineage: Bacteria
Description: partial 16S ribosomal RNA
Rfam family: Bacterial small subunit ribosomal RNA
Source: RNAcentral
GACGAACGCUGGCGGCGUGCCUAAUACAUGCAAGUAGAACGCUGAAGGAGGAGCUUGCUUCUCUGGAUGAGUUGCGAACGGGUGAGUAACGCGUAGGUAACCUGCCUGGUAGCGGGGGAUAACUAUUGGAAACGAUAGCUAAUACCGCAUAAGAGUAGAUGUUGCAUGACAUUUGCUUAAAAGGUGCAAUUGCAUCACUACCAGAUGGCCCUGCGUUGUAUUAGCUAGUUGGUGAGGUAACGGCUCACCAAGGCGACGAUACAUAGCCGACCUGAGAGGGUGAUCGGCCACACUGGGACUGAGACACGGCCCAGACUCCUACGGGAGGCAGCAGUAGGGAAUCUUCGGCAAUGGACGGAAGUCUGACCGAGCAACGCCGCGUGAGUGAAGAAGGGUUUCGGAUCGUAAAGCUCUGUUGUAAGAGAAGAACGAGUGUGAGAGUGGAAAGUUCACACUGUGACGGUAGCUUACCAGAAAGGGACGGCUAACUACGUG